GAUUAUGGCUCAGGAUGAACGCUAGCUACAGGCUUAACACAUGCAAGUCGAGGGGCAGCAUGGAGUUGCUUGCAAACUCUGAUGGCGACCGGCGCACGGGUGAGUAACGCGUAUCCAACCUUCCCUAUAGUAGAGGAUAGCCCGGCGAAAGUCGGAUUAAUACUCUAUGUUUUCCGUUGCAGACAUCUAAGAUGGAACAAAGGCUUGCCGCUAUAGGAUGGGGAUGCGUCUGAUUAGGUAGUCGGCGGGGUAACGGCCCACCGAGCCAUCGAUCAGUAGGGGUUCUGAGAGGAAGGUCCCCCACAUUGGAACUGAGACACGGUCCAAACUCCUACGGGAGGCAGCAGUGAGGAAUAUUGGUCAAUGGACGAGAGUCUGAACCAGCCAAGUAGCCGUGCAGGACGACGGCCCUAUGGGUUGUAAACUGCUUUUAUGCGGGGAUAAAGUUCACUACGUGUAGUGUUUUGUAGGUACCGCAUGAAUAAGGACCGGCUAAUUCCGUGCCAGCAGCCGC
RNAcentral lists this ribosomal RNA (514 nucleotides) under uncultured bacterium. Its description in RNAcentral is "bacterial SSU rRNA". It matches the Rfam family "Bacterial small subunit ribosomal RNA", at positions 15 to 518 of the family's 1533-position model. The record is from RNAcentral.